GAUUGAGUGUUCCGGUGAAUUAUUCGGACUGUUCCGUGUCGCGGCAACGUGUGCGGAAUGGAAAGUUUUGCGAACCUUAACACUUAGAGGAAGGAGAAGUCGUAACAAGGUUUCCGUAGGUGAACCUGCGGAAGGAUC
Molecule: ribosomal RNA, 138 nt
Filed under: Sarcocystis bovini
Lineage: Eukaryota; Apicomplexa; Conoidasida; Eucoccidiorida; Sarcocystidae
Description: partial 18S ribosomal RNA
Rfam family: Eukaryotic small subunit ribosomal RNA
Source: RNAcentral